CGCGGCGCUCCAAAGCUCGGGGAGUGGUGGUCUCCCUUUCCUGGAGUCAUUUGUGGGAGUUAGGGUCUUAUCCUGAUCUUUCCUCGUCCCCCGCUCCCCCGUCCUCCGAGGUGGCAGCUGCUCUGGAACGUUUUUUCUUAGAGUUCCAGAAUUGAGACUGAAGUGUACCCAGAGACACAAAGAAAUACAGAAGUCCAGAAUGAUCAAAUGAGAUCACUACCCAAUGAAAUGAUGGGCCGAGGAGCCAGAAGUUGUCCUACUACCUGCUUUCCAGGUCCAGAUUCCACGAGAGCCUUCUGGGCUCCCACCAGAGACCCUCAGUGAAGACUCUGUUGAAGACUUUAAGACCAUGCUAGAAAGCCUCCCGGCAGAGGUUCAGGAAGUUCUGCUAUGAGGAUGCAGCUGGCCCCAGGGAUGUCCUCAGGCAUCUCUAGGACCUUGCUGGACGGUGGUGGCUGAGACCUGAUAUCCACACAAAGGAGCAGACUGUGGAAAUGCUGGUGCAGGAGCAAUUCCAGGCUGUCCUGCCCGAGGAGCUCAGAGCUCAAGCACAGAGAUGUCAGCCUGGAAUCAGAAUCACUGGCUAAGUCUUGCUGCUUGCUUCUUGCUCAGCCUGCAUAUGAGAAGUCAACCAAGCAUUCUCUUGGAUGCAAGAUCCAACUGCACCCAUGGGAAAUCUGAACUUCCACUUUCUUUGAGCUUGUCUUUGGUUGUAAUAAGAAUCCAUCAAAACCCAUGUCUGGAUCUCUCUUUGGCUGAGGCAGCUUUAUUUCCUACAGAAAGAGUUUCUCUGUCCUCUUGUUAGGACAAUCAGCCUGCUGCUUUGGGCUUUUCCAAGAGCCUAUUUUUCAUCUGCUGGAUGCCUC
Molecule: long non-coding RNA, 866 nt
Filed under: Homo sapiens (human)
Lineage: Eukaryota; Metazoa; Chordata; Mammalia; Primates; Hominidae
Description: non-protein coding lnc-CELA3A-5:28
Source: RNAcentral